This is a long non-coding RNA of Apus apus (common swift), 858 nucleotides long. RefSeq lists it as uncharacterized. The transcript has 3 exons. The record is from RefSeq and is a predicted model, not a curated record. NCBI's taxonomy places the organism in Eukaryota, Metazoa, Chordata, Aves, Apodiformes, Apodidae.
GCCUGUUUGGUACCCUCAUUCACGUGACGAGAUGCGAGAGCCGUGGAACCACGCUGCAUAAGUGCCAGAUUUCUUAGAGGAAGCCUAAUUUUCCCUUCUUCCUGAGGCUUGCUGUGGAGGUAUCUGUAGCUGCAGACAAAUGAGAGAACACGUUGGGAUGGAUGGGACAGCAUGGUCAGAGCACAGUAACCCUUCAAGACUGAUGUUUGGUUUCUCACUAUGCCUUCAGGCAGGCAGAAACCAAGCAGAACAGGAAAACCAGAGUUUGCAUAUACUAUGCAUUGGGGAAUUACAAAUGGCUUUGUUGGAGAAAAAAAAAAAGAUAUCUUUUAACAAUUACCAAAAGAAGUUGGUACUAAUCAGCCUUCAAGACCUAAGUCAUUGUUGACCCUGAGCCAAUGGCUGGACAAGAGAGCUCCUCCAUCUCCUUCUAGCAGGUGCAGUUCUGUGCUUGGGUGACUGGUAUGACAGAGUGUGAAGGGGAAGAUCUAAGCAUGGAAGCCUCAGCACUGCCAGAAAAAGGGCUGUGGGAAGGGCAAACACACCAGCACUUCAUCAAGGUCACAUGUACCUGCAGCUUCUCAGAACACCCAGGCAAGGACAACCCAGGAGAUGUGAAGAGGGCUCCAAAGGCUGUGUCACUCUUCUUCUGUCCUGCCUCUAGUAAUUCUGUCCAGAGCAGGAUGAAAGACACGUUUAGCUGCUUACACCUAGGUGGAUAUGACAGUAUGCCUGGGAAUGAGUGAAAAUAAAAAUUGUGACAGAAGAAUCUCCAUCCCCUCCUUGCUUGAACUUUGCAACAUUACUGAGAUUUACUGAUACAGUUUGCAGGAGAGGUUUUGGGCUGGAAUGCCCUGA